GACGAACGCUGGCGGCGUGCUUAACACAUGCAAGUCGAACGGUGAAGCGCCUUCCUUUUUGGUGGGUGUGGAUGAGUGGCGAACGGGUGAGUAACACGUGAGUAACCUGCCCCCUUCUUCUGGAUAACCGCAUGAAAGUGUGGCUAAUACGGGAUAUUCUGGGUCUGUCGCAUGAUGGGUCUGGGAAAGAUAUUGUUUCGGUGGGGGAUGGGCUCGCGGCCUAUCAGCUUGUUGGUGGGGUGAUGGCCUACCAAGGCGGUGACGGGUAGCCGGCCUGAGAGGGUGGACGGUCACACUGGGACUGAGACACGGCCCAGACUCCUACGGGAGGCAGCAGUGGGGAAUAUUGCACAAUGGGCGCAAGCCUGAUGAAGCGACGCCGCGUGAGGGAUGGAGGCCUGCGGGUUGUGAACCUCUUUCGCCAGUGAAGCAGGCCUGCCUCGUUUGUGGGUGGGUUGACGGUAGCUGGAUAAGAAGCGCCGGCUAACUACGUG
RNAcentral lists this ribosomal RNA (494 nucleotides) under uncultured bacterium. RNAcentral's name for it is "partial 16S ribosomal RNA". It matches the Rfam family "Bacterial small subunit ribosomal RNA", at positions 28 to 507 of the family's 1533-position model. The record is from RNAcentral.